This 429-nucleotide ribosomal RNA is filed under the name Bacteroidota bacterium. RNAcentral's name for it is "Bacteroidetes bacterium partial 16S ribosomal RNA". It matches the Rfam family "Bacterial small subunit ribosomal RNA", at positions 355 to 776 of the family's 1533-position model. Lineage: Bacteria; Pseudomonadati; Bacteroidota. The record is from RNAcentral.
UAGGGAAUCUUCGGCAAUGGGGGGAACCCUGACCGAGCAACGCCGCGUGAGUGAAGAAGGUUUUCGGAUCGUAAAGCUCUGUUGUUAAGGAAGAACGAGUGUGAGAAUGGAAAGUUCAUACUGUGACGGUACUUAACCAGAAAGGGACGGCUAACUACGUGCCAGCAGCCGCGGUAAUACGUAGGUCCCGAGCGUUGUCCGGAUUUAUUGGGCGUAAAGCGAGCGCAGGCGGUUAGAUAAGUCUGAAGUUAAAGGCAGUGGCUCAACCAUAGUAGGCUUUGGAAACUGUUUAACUGGAGUGCAGAAGGGGAGAGUGGAAUUCCAUGGGUAGCGGUGAAAUGCGUAGAUAUAUGGAGGAACACCGGUGGCGAAAGCGGCUCUCUGGUCUGUAACUGACGCGGAGGCUCGAAAGCGUGGGGAGCGAACAGG